RNAcentral lists this long non-coding RNA (488 nucleotides) under Pan troglodytes (chimpanzee). RNAcentral's name for it is "lincRNA". Lineage: Eukaryota; Metazoa; Chordata; Mammalia; Primates; Hominidae. The record is from RNAcentral.
AACCUGUUUCUGGCCAUGCUGUGAAUCUGCAUUCUUUACUGUGUCCUUGGGAUACUAGGAGGAACCAGAGGAGCAGAUCCUGCUAGGAGGCUAAGCAUGAAGAAGGAAUUCAAAGAAACCUUGUGGAGAACGAAGACACAGCAGGGAGUCUCUGAUCAAGUGCCACAUCUUUAGAGAAGCUUUUCCAAACAACCGCCUUCAAGCUCCAGAUAAUCCUCAGUGAGGUAUACUGUCCGCUCAAUAUCCAAGAGUCACCCUUCUACAAGGGACCUCUAGACUGCCCAUAAGUGAGACAUGACAGAGGUAAAGUAAUGCUCCUGUCUCCCUUGGACCUCGCUGGAAACUGCAUUCAUCAACCCAUGGAACCACCCCCCUGCCAUGAAAGCUAGCAAGAGGCCAAGACCCACAGAACAACCACCAUCACUCCUCUGUCAGCAGGAAGCGGUUACAAAAGACUAACCUUUGCCCAUUUUCCCCAAAGAAUUGGG